UCAUCAAACAGACAAACUUUUUGUUUGUCUUACAUUUUAGUCGGAACAUAACACAAACAAAAAGCUGAUCUGCCAGACG
This 79-nucleotide microRNA precursor is filed under the name Xyrichtys novacula (pearly razorfish). The record is from RNAcentral. Lineage: Eukaryota; Metazoa; Chordata; Actinopteri; Labriformes; Labridae.